RNAcentral lists this ribosomal RNA (570 nucleotides) under Triticum aestivum (bread wheat). Its description in RNAcentral is "partial small subunit ribosomal RNA". Lineage: Eukaryota; Viridiplantae; Streptophyta; Magnoliopsida; Poales; Poaceae. The record is from RNAcentral.
AUGGUUUUUGACAUGGCCAGCAGGGAAGGAGCAAGAAGAGCUCCUCAAAGGGUCCAUGGCCCACUGCCUAAGCUCUCUUCAUUUGUUGCUGCUGCAGGGGCUGAAAUACCACAACCCAGGGUGACUAUAGAAAUGAAUAUUGCUAGGCAGACAAGGGCAAGGAUUGAAGCUGACAUUGCAAGAGGAAAGAAAAGGAGAGGCAGAGGUGAGGUACAUCCAAAUGCAAGAAAAGGUAGAGGAGCAAGUGCAGUCUCACCUCCAGGAAGAGGUGCCAGUGCAGAUGCAGCUCCAGGAAGAGGGAGAGGAGCAAGUGCAGUUUCAGCUCCAGGAAGAGGUGCCAGUGCAGAUGCAGCUCCAGGAAGAGGGAGAGGAGCAAAUGCAGAAGCUGGGAGAGGGAGAGGAGGCAGGAAUGUGCAUGCAUGGAGAGGGAGAGGAGGAAGACAUGCAGGUGCAGGGAUAGGGAGAGGAAGAAUUCUAGGUGAGAGGUCAUGGUGGCUGCUGUUUGGAGAAGACAUGGGCAGUCAAAUUCCAGACCUCAAUGCUCCUCCUGAAGAUUUUCCUGCUGCCUGA